CUUAGAGCCAGCUGAGUAUGGACUGAAACCUCUACGAACUAUAUUUUUGAUGGACAGUUGAUUAAAUCUGAAGAUGUGGAACCUAUGGAUACAGAGGAUGGACAGUAACAGCAAGUGCUGAGCCUCACAUCUGAUGACUGAUGACGCUGAGAGAGCCAUGUGAAGACAGACGCAGACACUGGAGUGACACGGCUGCAAGUUUAAGAAUGCCAAGGACUGCAACAGCCACCAGGCGCAUGGACAAAGGCAGGGAUAGACUCCCACAUGCUGCAGCUUUCCGAGGGAGUGUGGCACUGCUAACAGCAGGAUUUCAGAUCUGUGGCUUCCAGAACUAUGGGGGAAUACAUUUCUGCUGUUGUAAACCACCCUGUGUGUGACUAUUUGUGACAGUGAUCCUAGGAAACUGAUAUUACCCCAGAAACAUUAUUCUAAGAGAGAGAAGCAGGAUGAACAGGACCACAUAUUAUGCGAUUCCAUAUAUAGAAAAAUGCUGAGAAAAGGCAAAUCCAUAGAGACAGAAAAGAAAUUAGUGGCUGCCUAGGGCUGAGAGAUGGUAAGUUUGGGGAGAAAUAAGUAAUCGUGUAGAAUUUGUUUUUUUUUUUGAGAGGGUGAACAAAAAUGUUUUUAAACUGACUGUGGUACUGAAAGCACAACUCUAUGAACAUACACUAAAGGCCAAUGAAUUACAAUAACAAUGAAACUAUGGCCGUUAAAGUGAGGAAGAAUUCAUUUUAAACAGAUGGAGCAUGUCAACAGGACUCAGGACUCAAGAUGAUCACAGCUCAAAUGAGUAAAACUGGAACAAUCAGAACAAUGAAAUCAAUACACGACUCCAUUAAGUUAUAGUCCCCAGAAUCCACUUUAAAAAAUGUUUUUAAUAAAUAAUUCUAUACAUUUUCCCUUAUAACCUAUGCAAGCAUAGCUCCUAUAUCCCGAAAGUCCUGCCAAUAUCUGGCAUCAUCUGGCUAAUUUUGGCCAACUUAAUAAAGUUGUGUACAAGGGCUGAUUAAAAACUACCCUGUGUGUUUAAAUAAAAAAAUUACAGAAAAA
Long non-coding RNA from Chinchilla lanigera (long-tailed chinchilla), 1050 nucleotides. RefSeq lists it as uncharacterized. The transcript is spliced from 3 exons. NCBI's taxonomy places the organism in Eukaryota, Metazoa, Chordata, Mammalia, Rodentia, Chinchillidae. The record is from RefSeq and is a predicted model, not a curated record.